CAAGGAACUAAGAGUUUAUGGGGGAUACCUUGGCAUUCAGAAGCGAUGAAGGACGUGGUUACCGACGAUACGCUUCGGGGAGCUGGAAACAAGCUAUGAUCCGGAGGUCUCCGAAUGAGGCAACUUUUUAACUACUUAUUGAAUUCAUAGAUAAGAAAGAGCGAACCUAGAGAAUUGAAACAUCUUAGUACCUAGAGGAAAAGAAAGUAAAAACGAUUCCCUGAGUAGCGGCGAGCGAAACGGGAUUAGCCUAGAGCGA
This 259-nucleotide ribosomal RNA is filed under the name Skeletonema dohrnii. Its description in RNAcentral is "partial Bacterial large subunit ribosomal RNA". It matches the Rfam family "Bacterial large subunit ribosomal RNA", at positions 1 to 277 of the family's 2925-position model. Lineage: Eukaryota; Bacillariophyta; Thalassiosirophyceae; Thalassiosirales; Thalassiosiraceae. The record is from RNAcentral.